The sequence is a small nuclear RNA, 134 nucleotides long. Its record names the gene U1. It matches the Rfam family "U1 spliceosomal RNA". Rfam says of the family: U1 is a small nuclear RNA (snRNA) component of the spliceosome (involved in pre-mRNA splicing). The record is from Ensembl.
AUAAAGAAGUGGUAUGAUCACAAGGUGGUUUUCCAUUGAACUGAAAGUGUACUGAUUCCUAUGAUUUCCCCAAAUGUGGGAAACUUGACUGCAUAGCUUCUGUCAGCUGGGGACAGCAUUUGCACUCCCCCUAG